Molecule: long non-coding RNA, 635 nt
Filed under: Phaseolus vulgaris (common bean)
Lineage: Eukaryota; Viridiplantae; Streptophyta; Magnoliopsida; Fabales; Fabaceae
Description: long non-coding RNA (PVUL_LNC005278)
Source: RNAcentral
AUUCUCUGGGGCCAAUCCAACACAAGCUCUCAUAAUGUUUUCCAGCAUUGCACGCUGCUUUGACAAUGCAUUCACCACUGGUGUGCCCGGUGGAACCUGUGAUAGUUAUCUCUUGAGUUAAUUUGCAAACUUUUUGAGGAAAAUGAACACGGGAUAAAAGGGAAAUUCACUUUAACAAACUUCGAAAUUGGAGGGAUUGUAUCUCCAUAAUGAGCUUACUACAUAUGUUUCCCUAAACUUAAUUUCUAUUUAAAAAAUAAGCAUGUGGACUCAACAUUCAAUAAGAUUAGAUUAAACUCACUAGAGGAGCCUUGGUCAGGUAGCUGAGAAUGGUAGCAACUGGGUGGAAUGAGUGGAAUUUUCCCUGCAGCAACCACCACAACACAGUGAACUCCGAAGUCAGAAAAGCUACAAAUAAUACAAUGACCAACACAAUCAAGCAAUUAAAUUUAGCAAUGCAUGCAGACCUCCUUUUCAGCUUUGAACUGGAUACGAGUGCUAAGCUCAGCAAGAAGGACCAAGUCCAAUAUAAUAGGAGCAGCCAAGAGAGAAUCCUCGCAUGUAUUGUGCAGCACAAUGGUGUUCUUUCCACCCAUGAAUAUCUCUGAAGUGUACUCAUCCAUGGCUCUCUUGCU